ACUUAGUUAUAUCAGCAUGACCACAUUGUGCAAGUGUCCAGAAUUGCUGUACUUGUGAAGUUCUCCGCAUUGGAAAGUCCCUCCUUCCACAGAAGGAAAAAUAAUAAUAAAAAUUGACCUAUCUACACAACUGAGUAGAGCUCAGUGUUAUGUGUGCCGAAUACUUUACCUCACCCAAUCUAAUUUGAAGUAGCGUCCUCCAGCUUUGCUCCUAUUCAGCAAGGAGGCACUUCCAAAGCCAACACAUGCAGGCAAAAAGCUGAAGUGGGAACAGAUCCUGUACAACCUGGCUUCACUCUGGAAAACAUUUUGCAUUCCUUGAAAUUAGCCUGUUUGUUUUAUGAAAUGUUUGGCUUCUCUAUCCUGUUAAAAAACAAAGACACCCCCAUUCAAAUACACACAAAACAAAAAAGCUUCUCUAAUGCAAAUUAACGUUUGUUCUCGGAGGAGGAUAGAGAUCUUUGUGGCAGCCAUUAACAGCUCAGAGUGUCCUUCUCAUCACCCCUGAACCCACCCACUGCAAAGCCCUUCACAAAAGGCCUAAUCUAACAUUUUCCCUUGUUGUUCGCAAUCUUGAAGAACAGCCACAUUCUCAUGGAAAUAGUUGUUAUAUAGCAGUCUGUGUGGAUACAGCUCUAUCAAUUUUUUAAAAAGUACCACUUUAAAAUAACUUGAUUCCCAUCCCAAGCAAAAAACACUAACAUGAAAAUCCUCUAUGCUGUUCUGAAGUUACACCUUUGCAGCUGGUGCAAAAUGAAGGAGCAGCGUAAGAUGCCUGUCUAGACGAGCCUUUAAAUUGCAAGCAUUUCAGGCUACGCUUGCCGAAUUGGUGCUUAUUGUUUAAAUGCAACUUUUCUGUUAAAGAAACUUCAAAGGUAAAUUUCUAGGAACUGUGUAUCUUUAUUAAGACUUGUACACAUUCUGUUUUUUGAAUAAAUGUAAGGCCUGUGGAACAAUAAUAGCCUGUAGAUACCAGAGGGAAACAACUUUUUUUGAGGAGAGAGUAGACUUUUCCCUGCUCUGCAAGCACAACUGAGCCUGUCAUCAAAACCUAAGCCACAAAUUAAAAAAAAAAAAAGAUAGAAAAAAUAAAUCAUCAGUAGAACCACUUCAUUACCAUAAAGCAUUUCAUGAAAUCCAAUUUUCUUUUUCACAGAUUUGUAUGGCCUUGUUUUCAGUUAGGUCACUCCAUUAAUUCACCUGCACUGACACAGCAGAAGAGAGCUCCAUACCCACAUGUUAGAAGACACUGCACCCAAAUGCGAGUUUCAGUUCUUUUACUGACUGCUCAGAAAGCAUCUCAGCUAAAGCACAUCUUGUUGCGAUGUAACUGAAGAUGAAUGCUAACAGCUAUUUCGCCACUAGUGACUUUUCUUUGCUUCUCUCAAAAUUAGCUUUCUAGUUACCCCUGAGUAAAAAUCAGCAAGUAAAAAUAAGAUAUGUUUCUUUCUUGGAGGGGAGAAGCUCAAGAGAUGUAGAGCAGAGUUCACACCAACUCAGGUAUGAAAAGUUGGUUUAACUACUAACACAUCCAAAACCCUCAAAUCUCCAACUACCACACUGACUCCUGGAAAAAAGAAAAGGAGCUUUAGGAGGAUUUUCCCCAAAACACUUCAUAGUGAUUUUAUCAGCAGAAGUGGCAAGACAUAAGAUGUGUAAUAUGUAAUACAUUAAACAUUUUACUGUCUGUGACACACUACUUUAAGCUAUUUAGAGCAGAAACAUGAAUCUGAAGCUUGCAGUUGCCUCCACUAAGAAAAGUAGAGUGAUCUAUGCCAACCCAUACUCAAAAUUACAGUCUCUGUUCUAAAAUAAGUUUGGUCAUAUAGUUCAAGUUAUGACUAAGCUACUAUGUCUUAUAAAAGAACUCGGAUCUGCAAGAAUGUUUCCACAGGCAGUUAAAGCAUUUAGUAGGACAAAAAUACAAGAAAAAAAAAGUUAGCUUUUUUGCCUGCUUGUCUAUUUGCUAUCUGUCUGCAGUCUGCAGGUAAAGUCUAGUUGGUUUUGAGACUAGAGAAAGAAUAUAUAAAAUUCAGAGACGUUCACUCACAAUCACUUCUUCACACACACACCUCCACGCUGCACAUGCCUUCAUCUAUUUCAGCUGCUAAUGACUACAAGAAAGAGGUGAAGAGUCAGCCUAAAUUGGUUCAGUAUUUAUUCUUCACAGCACCACAAGCUUUAAUUUCAUCUACUCUUUGCAUAACUUCAAUAAUAAACACGGUGCUCUCUGUAUUUGAUUCUUAAACCACCCAUAUCUGAAGCACAAUGGGACGUGUCACAGGCACUUGCUUUGCUGCCCUCAUAAUACGGUUUAAUUAUGAUGACUGAACUAACGGGCUCACAUCAUAGACUUUUACAGGUUGACCCCGUGUCAUCCUGAUGUAUCAUUUUGCACCAGUUCAGUGCUGUAAAUCAAUUUAAGAUCUCCAGCAGGUUGAAAAGGCUGGUAAUGAUGCUUUCUCUGCAGUCUCUGGGGACUCCACAUUAUACACAACUUACAUUAUUUAUAAAGCUGAGAUGAUGCCUCCAUUAGGCUUGGACAAGGUGCAGGCGGCCACAGAAGGACCAGCAGAAUGUGCUACAGACACGCCUGGGGAGAGAAGCAGUCUCUGUGGGCUGGGUUAGCUGCAGCUUUUAGUCUUAUUCUCGAGUGCUACUUAAAAACACGCAGAACUAUUGGGGGAAAAAAAUGAAUCAAAGUUUUCUAUUUUUGACUACUCUCCUCUGUGCAAAAGAGAUGUGAGGUAUGAGUUAUGACACGUGUGAAACAGAGCUAUUCUCUCAACAUGUUAGUUUCGGGAUGCGGUAUCUUUAAGCGCUGACAUCCAUUAAACAAUGCCAUGUUUCACAGCAGCGAUCUUUUCCAUUUGCUUGUAUCUGGAAUACACAUCUACUUGCACUCCUCCCCACCUCGAUCCAACAAUACCUCUCCUUCCCCAAAUAAAGCUGAUACCUUGUUUUACAUGCAGCGAACACAGGUUUUUUUCCUAAAAUACGCCAAAAUAACAAUUACAGCUUAUUCUUAAAGAUCAUUUGUAUACCAGAAAAGCAAAGUAUAAGGUCAGACCCCAUAUCUUCUUCAGACUGAUCUACUAACAAAAGAGCAAGCACAGCAGUCCUUCCUCAGUCACAACUCCCACUGACUUCAGUUGAUAAAGAAUAAAUAAAAAAUAAAAAAAAAAUCAGGAUUUGGUCCAUUUUUUGAAUGCAUGACUGAGUGUUUCCACACCAGGACGUUUCCAGCAGCCUCAGGGAGCUGUAUUCAGGAUAAGAGGACUCGGCUGUACAGCCCGAGUACACGAAGAAACGAGACGGAGGAGGGGAAAAUCUCGGGCAUCCAAACACGGAGGAGG
Molecule: long non-coding RNA, 3356 nt
Organism: Cygnus olor (mute swan)
Lineage: Eukaryota; Metazoa; Chordata; Aves; Anseriformes; Anatidae
Exons: 2
Source: RefSeq, a predicted model, not a curated record